This 633-nucleotide long non-coding RNA is filed under the name Struthio camelus australis. RNAcentral's name for it is "lncRNA (ENSSCUG00000009673.1)". Lineage: Eukaryota; Metazoa; Chordata; Aves; Struthioniformes; Struthionidae. The record is from RNAcentral.
GCACAGCUGUGCCCCUCACGCACUGCUGCAGCCCAGAGCCCUCUACUCUAAGUGCCCGCUGGGGUGCUGAAGGGGCCCCUGGCCUGGCUGGGCCUUGGCAGAAGCAUGGCGGGGAUCUCAGCACCCGCAGGCCCCGCUCUGCCCUCUGCUCCCUCUGAACCUGGCUACCAGCCAGCUUCUAGCUGGGAGGCGUGGGCAGGAAGGAAGAGGAGGCCGGAGCUGGGAGGAGGGACAGGCCUGGCCUUCUGGGGAGGCUCGGUGGCAACCCCCUGUCCUUGUGCUGUCUGCAGCUGCUGAGGGACAGGAGCAGAGCGGAGCAACACCUGCGCCAGAGCCUGCCUUACCUGGAGAACCCGGACGCAUCCUUGCGGGAGGCAGCUGUGAGGUUCAUUGGGCUCAUCGGGCAGCAAGUGAAGAAGCGGAGGAAGGAGAAGGUGCAGGAGCUGUGCACUGCCCUCCAGCCCCUGGAAAAUGAUGCGGAACCUUUAGUCCGUUGCCUGGUGUCACAGACCAUCAUGAACCUGAGGGUGCCAAGGAGAACAUCAAGAUUCCACCUCGGAGCACUGUGUCCCUGGCUCCCGAGAGCAUGGGCGAGGUGGCACCCUCCCGCCAGGACGUGACUCUGUUUGAGCA